GCGGCAGCAGUCGCGCAACCCCUGCAAUACGCGAAAGCGUGACAGGGCUACCCCGAGUGUCGUCCGCUGAGGAUGGCUUUUCUCUGCUGUAAGAAGGCAGAGGAAUAAGGAGAGGGCAAGUCUGGUGUCAGCCGCCGCGGUAAUACCAGCUCUCCGAGUGGUAGGGAUGAUUAUUGGGCUUAAAGCGUCCGUAGCUGGCCUUUCAAGUCUCUUGUUAAAUCCAGCGAUUCAAUCGUUGGACUGCGGGAGAUACUGUUAGGCUAGAGGGCGGGAGAAGCCGACGGUAUUUCCGGGGUAGGGGUAAAAUCCUAUAAUCCCGGGAAGACCGCCAGUGGCGUAGGCGGUCGGCUAGCACGCGCUCGACAGUGAGGGACGAAAGCUGGGGUAGCGAACCGGAUUAGAUACCCGGGAGUCC
This 415-nucleotide ribosomal RNA is filed under the name uncultured crenarchaeote. RNAcentral describes it as "partial 16S ribosomal RNA". It matches the Rfam family "Archaeal small subunit ribosomal RNA", at positions 329 to 747 of the family's 1478-position model. The record is from RNAcentral. Lineage: Archaea; Thermoproteati; Thermoproteota.